UACGUAGGGCGCAAGCGUUGUUCGGAAUUACUGGGCGUAAAGGGCUCGUAGGCGCCAACUAAGUCAUACGUGAAAUCCCUCGGCUUAACCGGGGAACUGCGUCUGAUACUGGAUGGCUUGAGUUCGGGAGAGGGAUGCGGAAUUCCAGGUGUAGCGGUGAAAUGCGUAGAUAUCUGGAGGAACACCGGUGGCGAAGGCGGCAUCCUGGACCGAUACUGACGCUGAGGAGCGAAAGCCAGGGGAGCAAACGGG
This 252-nucleotide ribosomal RNA is filed under the name uncultured bacterium. RNAcentral describes it as "partial 16S ribosomal RNA". It matches the Rfam family "Bacterial small subunit ribosomal RNA", at positions 524 to 776 of the family's 1533-position model. The record is from RNAcentral.